This 492-nucleotide ribosomal RNA is filed under the name uncultured bacterium. RNAcentral describes it as "partial 16S ribosomal RNA". It matches the Rfam family "Bacterial small subunit ribosomal RNA", at positions 29 to 507 of the family's 1533-position model. The record is from RNAcentral.
AGUGAACGCUGGCGGUAGGCCUAACACAUGCAAGUCGAACGGCAGCACAGUAAGAGCUUGCUCUUACGGGUGGCGAGUGGCGGACGGGUGAGGAAUACAUCGGAAUCUACUUUUUCGUGGGGGAUAACGUAGGGAAACUUACGCUAAUACCGCAUACGACCUACGGGUGAAAGCAGGGGAUCUUCGGACCUUGCGCGAUUGAAUGAGCCGAUGUCGGAUUAGCUAGUUGGCGGGGUAAAGGCCCACCAAGGCGGCGAUCCGUAGCUGGUCUGAGAGGAUGAUCAGCCACACUGGAACUGAGACACGGUCCAGACUCCUACGGGAGGCAGCAGUGGGGAAUAUUGGACAAUGGGCGCAAGCCUGAUCCAGCCAUACCGCGUGGGUGAAGAAGGCCUUCGGGUUGUAAAGCCCUUUUGUUGGGAAAGAAAAGCAGCAGGUUAAUACCCCGCUGUUCUGACGGUACCCAAAGAAUAAGCACCGGCUAACCUCGUG